UAUCCAGCGAGCCAAUCAGUGCUCCGCAGGUCAGAGGUGCCGCCCACUGAACUAAGUCAGAGAUGAAAGCUGUACAGCGGUCUUUGCUAACGGUGUGUGCAUGCCUAUGAAAGAAACCACACACACAUGCGAAGCAGAAUUUCUUCAGUGUACUGAGUUGUGGUGACAAUAAAUGGGUUAUUCCCGCAUACCUGAUGCUUCAUAGCGUGUGUAUCAAACGAUAAAUUCUCAUAACAGAAAGAAGAGCUAGCAGUAGCAACUCAUUUUGAUAUUUUCCUUUUCUGUUGUUCUCUGAUUAGACUUGUAUUUACAGGCACAACAGUCACACUGGUGAAUUCCAGAAAUCUUUUGCCUUUUCUGUUUUUGAGCAAGAACGUUUGAUUAGCUCAGCUUUUUGCUCAAGGGUUAAAUGUAAAAUUUAAAACCAGCUGUCUAGUUCUUGUUUCCUCAAUUUGCAUACACCGUUUCAACACACUAACUUCCACCAGGCUUGGAACUGGUGCAACUUGUCCUCAAAAGCAUAUUUCUUAAGCUUCUAAAACAUUUCAGAAAAAAAAAUAUUAAUCCUGCAAGGAAAAGGAAUGCUGUGACUUGUUUUUAUGACCACAUUUGUGUAUGAGACAAACCUUCUGCACAUGCUCAGACCUGAGAGACCUUGCAUGCAAACCACAUCCUGAUUCACUCAAGAUACAAGUAAGAUACUGCUGUAAGAUUUGAGGAUUUUACUAAAUCAGCUCACCUGUUCAAACAGAUCACUUCAAACUCCUAGACAAGCCAUGGAUUUUGAGAACAGCAAAGAAGGAUGUAAAAACUGCAAAAAGAAUUGCAAUAACAAUUGCCAAUGUCAUUGUCAUACAAUAACCCAAAGUCCUAAACCUAAGCAAAGGGCUGAGGAGAAGACGUCUGAAGGGCCUUCAAAAGAGUGCGGCUCCUGUGAUUGCAGCUACUGUUAUUUCGUCCCUUGUGACUGUGGCCCUUGUGAUUGUGGAUCCGGUGAUGGUGGUUCUGGUGAUGGUGGUGCCGGUGAUGGUAGCUCAUGUGAUUGCGGACCCUGUGAUUGUGGACCUUGUGAUUGCAGCUCCUGUGAUUGCGGCUCCUGUGAUUGCGGCUCCUGUGAUAUUCAGUGAAUGUUUGCAGGAUGUUGAUCAGACACUAAUUCAUCUGUCUGGAGUGGAUGGAUUUGUGGAGACAACGCAGUACUCAGGACAGGUUUCAGCUCCAGUGAAGAACAUCAUCAACACAAAGACAACAGCACUAUGAUCUACAAUAAAUGACAGGACAUCUGUAGUGCCAUCGUGGAUGUUAAACAUCAUAAAGACAAUAUUAUCUAUACAUAUAAAUACAGUUCCAACCAAAAUAUCAAAGUAAAUUAAAUAGCAAAUCAGUUAAAUGCUAAAUUUCUUUCCAGUGCUCUGAAUAUCUGUACUUUUUAAGAAAUUUUUCAUGUUUUAAUUUUAUUUAUUUUUUUUAGAUUUUACAACGAGACCAUUGUUUCUCAACUCUGAGAUGAUUUUUAUAAUUUUUGUAAACAGGACAUUAUGCACUCAUUAUUUGUGAGGGGUAGGAGUGAAGGUGGAGGGAGGGGUGCUCGUCAUGAAUGUCAUGUGACACAGCAACCACGAUAGCACUCUAUAACUGAUAUAGGUCUAUGCUUUAUCUUUAUUUGAUCUUUUUAUUCAAAAUAUUCCUAAAUAGGUUAACUAUAUCCUGAAAUAUCUUGAUUCUCAAAUAUGAGUAAUACGUAUUACAUCUUACUUAGUCUUAAAAAGUCUUACAAAGCAAUUUGCCUUAUACAUUUACAGCAAAACCAGAGUACAGGCAGUUUUAGCUUAAAAAUAAAAAGAAUAUAAUCAAUAAUUAUGAAUUACAAAAUUAUAAUAGCCUAUUUGAAAAAUAAAUUGUUAGCUGAUGCUAACUGGCUAGCUAACUAGCUACCUGAUGCUAACUUGAGGUAAUUUUUAAAUAUAAAGUCCAAAUAUUUUUAUUCAACCAACUCAACCAUGUUUAUUCAAAGAUUUGAUGAAAAAAACCAAGGAUUUGAUGUUCAGAACAGAAUAACUACAGUAAUUGCCCAUUGCCCCCUGGGCGCAUUUUGCCCCACUAUGUUUGAGAAAACAAUUCUGUAAUUCUAAAUAUAAUUAUAUUUACCUUAAAUAACAUGUACUUCCCAUCUACGGGCCCUACUGUUUUCAUAACAUAUAUAACCUGUGAUUUUCUACAAAACGAAUUUUUCUUAUUGCUUAAAAUUAGAUCAAUUACUGUGAAAUGUAUUUUCUCUCAGGUACAUCACCAGUGUGAGCUUCAUCGUGAAUACUUCUACAUCACUCUUGUCAAUGCAGUUCAUGGUGAAAAUAAAAUUUAUCUUGA
Cyprinus carpio (common carp) is the source of this 2367-nucleotide long non-coding RNA. RefSeq lists it as uncharacterized. NCBI's taxonomy places the organism in Eukaryota, Metazoa, Chordata, Actinopteri, Cypriniformes, Cyprinidae. The record is from RefSeq and is a predicted model, not a curated record.